Long non-coding RNA from Andrographis paniculata, 613 nucleotides. RefSeq lists it as uncharacterized. The record is from RefSeq and is a predicted model, not a curated record. Lineage: Eukaryota; Viridiplantae; Streptophyta; Magnoliopsida; Lamiales; Acanthaceae. The transcript has 4 exons.
UACGUAUGUCGCGACUACGACCGAUGCGGCCGCAUGAAUUCCCUUUGUCGACUGCGCGCCACCUGCACACAACCAUCACCGGCAAGAAGGUUUCUCACGCUUUGGUGAAUCGAGUUCGAGGGAAUCUAGAAACUUGCAAGCAUUUUUUCUGGAGAAUAUAUAGUUUUAUAUACUUUAUCGGUGAUACUAUUGACAUAGUGAAGGUUUUUGUCACGGUUGCUACCGUUCCGAAGGCCGCACUCAUUCUACGAACGAAAUCUGGAGCGCAAACACUGAGGUUGUCCAUGUCAAGCUAACCGACUGGACAUUCAAGGAUCUCGUUCGUCACCUGCAACUUCCAUAUAUGUUCACUUUGACGAUGCAUGGGGCGAUGCAGCAUUGCACGUAAUUCUAUAAUGAUUAACUUUUGUUUGUGGGUUGAUAUUGACUGAGUCAUCUCUGUUGGUUGAACUUGCAUAUUAUGGUUCCUUUUGUGUGUUUGUUUCUAUGCUUUGCUCUUGGAUUGUAUAUGUUUGGUUGUAUUGCGAAAUAAUUAUGUUCCUAGACAAUGCGCACUUGGUGCAACUGAUGAUGGUGAUAUAGACUUUCUAUAAUACUUUUAUAUUUUGUAGUA